Molecule: ribosomal RNA, 253 nt
Filed under: uncultured bacterium
Lineage: Bacteria
Description: partial 16S ribosomal RNA
Rfam family: Bacterial small subunit ribosomal RNA
Source: RNAcentral
UACGUAGGGCGCGAGCGUUGUCCGGAAUUAUUGGGCGUAAAGAGCUCGUAGGCGGCCUGUCGCGUCGGUUGUGAAGGCCCGGGGCUCAACCCCGGGUCUGCAGUCGAUACGGGCAGGCUAGAGUUCGGUAGGGGAGAUCGGAAUUCCUGGUGUAGCGGUGAAAUGCGCAGAUAUCAGGAGGAACACCGGUGGCGAAGGCGGGUCUCUGGGCCGAUACUGACGCUGAGGAGCGAAAGCGUGGGGAGCGAACAGG